GCUAGCUAUGGGGCAGGAGCUGGAGGUAUGCUGGGUGGGCUAGCGGUGUUCGGGAUUAUGGGGGGUAAGGCGCUGGUAGGCGGCGUGUUAAGUGCCGAGUUAAAUCCCCAGGCGUGACUGGGGAAGUGCGCGGAAAACCGGCGGGGUUGAAUGCCGGAGAGGGGCGCGGAAUUCCCGGUGUAGAGGUGAAAUUCGUAGAUAGCGGGAGGAACACCAGUGGCGAAGGCGGCGACCUGGACGGACAUUGACGCUGAGACGCGAAAGCGUGGGGAGCAAACAGGAUUAGAUACCCCUGUAGUC
Molecule: ribosomal RNA, 300 nt
Filed under: uncultured Desulfurococcus sp.
Lineage: Archaea; Thermoproteati; Thermoproteota; Thermoprotei; Desulfurococcales; Desulfurococcaceae
Description: bacterial SSU rRNA
Rfam family: Bacterial small subunit ribosomal RNA
Source: RNAcentral